RNAcentral lists this unclassified non-coding RNA (337 nucleotides) under soil metagenome. Its description in RNAcentral is "partial contains 5.8S ribosomal RNA, internal transcribed spacer 2, and large subunit ribosomal RNA". The stretch from base 1 to 120 matches the Rfam family "5.8S ribosomal RNA", at positions 35 to 154 of the family's 154-position model. The record is from RNAcentral.
GAUGAAGAACGUAGCGAAAUGCGAUAAGUAGCGUGAAUUGCAGAAUUCAGUGAAUCAUCGAAUCUUUGAACGCACAUUGCGCCCCUUGGUAUUCCAUGGGGCAUGCCUGUUCGAGCGUCAUUUGUACCUUCAAGCUCUGCUUGGUGUUGGGUGUUUGUCUCGCCUCUGCGUGUAGACUCGCCUCAAAACAAUUGGCAGCCGGCGUAUUGAUUUCGGAGCGCAGUACAUCUCGCGCUUUGCACUCAUAACGACGACGUCCAAAAGUACAUUUUUACACUCUUGACCUCGGAUCAGGUAGGGAUACCCGCUGAACUUAAGCAUAUCAAUAAGCGGAGGA